UCCUGGCUCAGGAUGAACGCUGGCGGCGUGCCUAACACAUGCAAGUCGAACGGAAUUUACAUGAAGCCUAGCGAUUGUAAAUUUAGUGGCGGACGGGUGAGUAACGCGUGGGUAACCUGCCUUGUACUGGGGGACAACAGUUGGAAACGACUGCUAAUACCGCAUAAGCGCACAGCUUCGCAUGAAGCAGUGUGAAAAACUCCGGUGGCGUGAGAUGGACCCGCGUCUGAUUAGCUAGUUGGCAGGGCAACGGCCUACCAAGGCGACGAUCAGUAGCCGACCUGAGAGGGUGACCGGCCACAUUGGGACUGAGACACGGCCCAAACUCCUACGGGAGGCAGCAGUGGGGAAUAUUGCACAAUGGGGGAAACCCUGAUGCAGCGACGCCGCGUGAGCGAAGAAGUAUUUCGGUAUGUAAAGCUCUAUCAGCAGGGAAGAAGAAAUGACGGUACCUGACUAAGAAGCACCGGCUAAAUACGUG
Molecule: ribosomal RNA, 481 nt
Filed under: uncultured bacterium
Lineage: Bacteria
Description: bacterial SSU rRNA
Rfam family: Bacterial small subunit ribosomal RNA
Source: RNAcentral